AGCUCCUGGAAACGGGUGGUAAUGCCGAAUGCUCCAACAUGCUGCAUGGUGUGUUGGGAAAGGGUUCUGUACCGGUAUGGGAUGGGGUCGCGUCCUAUCAGCUUGUUGGUGAGGUAACGGCUCACCAAGGCCUCGACGGGUAGCCGGCCUGAGAGGGCGACCGGCCACAUUGGGACUGAGAUACGGCCCAGACUCCUACGGGAGGCAGCAGUGGGGAAUAUUGCACAAUGGGCGCAAGCCUGAUGCAGCGACGCCGCGUGCGGGAUGACGGCCUUCGGGUUGUAAACCGCUUUUGAUUGGGAGCAAGCGUGNNAGUGAGUGUACCUUUCGAAUAAGCGCCGGCUAACUACGUGCCAGCAGCCGCGGUAAUACGUAGGGCGCAAGCGUUGUCCGGAAUUAUUGGGCGUAAAGGGCUCGUAGGCGGCCCGUCGCGUCCGGUGUGAAAGCCCGUCGCUUAACGUCGGGUCUGCGCCGGGUACGGGCGGGCUGGAGUGCGGUAGGGGAGACUGGAAUUCCCGGUGUAACGGUGGAAUGUGUAGAUAUCGGGAAGAACACCAAUGGCGAAGGCAGGUCUCUGGGCCGUUACUGACGCUGAGGAGCGAAAGCGUGGGGAGCGAACAGGAUUAGAUACCCUGGUAGUCCACGCCGUAANCGGUGGACGCUGGAUGUGGGGCCCUUUCCACGGGUUCCGUGUCGGAGCUAACGCGUUAAGCGUCCCGCCUGGGGAGUACGGCCGCAAGGCUAAAACUCAAAGAAAUUGACGGGGGCCCGCACAAGCGGCGGNNCAUGCGGAUUAAUUCGAUGCAACGCGAAGAACCUUACCUGGGCUU
Molecule: ribosomal RNA, 830 nt
Filed under: Bifidobacterium sp.
Lineage: Bacteria; Bacillati; Actinomycetota; Actinomycetes; Bifidobacteriales; Bifidobacteriaceae
Description: bacterial SSU rRNA
Rfam family: Bacterial small subunit ribosomal RNA
Source: RNAcentral